Manis pentadactyla (Chinese pangolin) is the source of this 547-nucleotide long non-coding RNA. RefSeq lists it as uncharacterized. NCBI's taxonomy places the organism in Eukaryota, Metazoa, Chordata, Mammalia, Pholidota, Manidae. The transcript is spliced from 4 exons. The record is from RefSeq and is a predicted model, not a curated record.
GGGAGCCGGAGGUGGGCUUCCUCACGUGGCUCGCGUGUGAAAACAGUGACACCUGCCCGUUCCUCCCUCCUCUGGUACCACAGCGUCUCUUCUGGGGACGUCCUGACUCUGCUCCGGGGUGCUAGUGCACCCCUGCCAGUGGCCCAGCCCCAGGUUUCUGCCCCGUGAGUGGUCGGGGUGGCAGUGAGAACAGAGGGAAGAAGGCCCAGCCUGGCUGCUCUGCUCCUGCCGCUUGGCGACUCCUGGCCUUGCCUGUCUGGGAACCUGGCAUGACCUGGUCCCUGGCACCUCGCGUGGACCUGCACUGUGGCCCUGCUGUGCACCAGGCUUCCGUCUGCUGAGGGCUGCUCCUGGUAACCAAAGAAAUGCAAGUGAAAUAACAAGGCCCUCACAUCUGGCCCAUGCUGGUGGGAAUCCUGCCUGGCACCCCCUUCUAGGAAGCCGUCUCCCGGUGUCCUUGAGAGGUGGCCAGCUUUGGACCUGUUCAUUCUACUCCCGAGAAGCCAUCCAGGAGAAAACGUAAGUGGAUGAGAGUGAUGCUCCAACU